This 318-nucleotide ribosomal RNA is filed under the name uncultured bacterium. Its description in RNAcentral is "bacterial SSU rRNA". It matches the Rfam family "Bacterial small subunit ribosomal RNA", at positions 43 to 384 of the family's 1533-position model. The record is from RNAcentral.
UCAGGCCUAACACAUGCAAGUCAAACGACAAAUUUUUUUGUAGUGGCGGACGGGUGAGUAACACGUAAGAACCUGCCUUUAGGAGGGGGAUACCAUCUGGGAAACUGGUGCUAAUACCCCAUAUGCUGAGAAGUGAAAAGGUAUUUAACCGCCUAGAGAGGGGCUUGCGGCUGAUUAGCUAGUUGGUAGGGUAAUGGCCUCCCAAGGCGACGAUCAGUAGCUGGUUUGAGAGGAUGAUCAGCCACACUGGGACUGAGACACGGCCCAGACUCCUACGGGAGGCAGCAGUGAGGAAUUUUCUUCAAAGGGCGAAAGCCU